UGGGGAAUAUUGGACAAUGGGGGAAACCCUGAUCCAGCCAUGCCGCGUGUGUGAUGAAGGCCUUCGGGUUGUAAAGCACUUUCGCACGUGAAGAUGAUGACGGUAACGUGAGAAGAAGCCCCGGCUAACUUCGUGCCAGCAGCCGCGGUAAUACGAAGGGGGCAAGCGUUGUUCGGAAUUACUGGGCGUAAAGGGCGCGUAGGCGGUGCACUAAGUCAGGCGUGAAAGCCCUGGGCUCAACCCGGGAAUUGCGCUUGAUACUGGUGCGCUUGAAUCCAGGAGAGGUUGGUGGAAUUCCCAGUGUAGAGGUGAAAUUCGUAGAGAUUGGGAAGAACACCGGUGGCGAAGGCGGCCAACUGGACUGGUAUUGACGCUGAGGCGCGAAAGCGUGGGGAGCAAA
RNAcentral lists this ribosomal RNA (400 nucleotides) under uncultured bacterium. RNAcentral describes it as "bacterial SSU rRNA". It matches the Rfam family "Bacterial small subunit ribosomal RNA", at positions 355 to 772 of the family's 1533-position model. The record is from RNAcentral.